GAUUUUACAUCAAUCCAGAGUGUACGAUGCCGUGACUGUAUCAUCCGAUCCUUCCAUAGAGUGCGGUGACAAAACUGGAGGUGGGGAUCACGAGAUUACUUGUGCUCUUUUAGGUAUGGGAUGCUAUGCAGCUGGCCUGUCCCCUCUUCCUCCUGGCUGACAGUAGGAUUCUCUGCUCAGGCUAUUUCCUGCAGAACAGCUGCACAGCUUCUCUGGAGCCUGCUGCUGGCCCAAGUGCCUGUGAUCAUAGAAAUAGCUGGUUAGGAGGUGACCCAGAACAAAAAGAAAAGGCAGGUGGAGAUGGAGCAGUUAGGCACUGACGGCUUCUGUCUGGUGAGCUGGCUCUUGAUUGACUGAUUAGCUUCUUUGUAUGGCAGGCGCUUCUCUCAGCUCCUUCAUUAAAGAUGCAUCAUACCCCCUGCAAGAGUUUUUUUUUUUUUUUCUCUAUUUUAUUUUUUCCCCUCAGAGACGGAGAGAAAGAGGGACAGAGAAGGAGUAAUUGUGAAUGUUUUACAGUAGGGAAACUUAGUAUUGGAGGUCUUUAGAGAUGGAGUGCAGCCAGGUUCCUGCCUCCAAAAUUACCAGAGAACCCCCAACAUGCAAAACUGAUGCAUGUGUCUGUAAGCAACUUCAAAAGAAAAUGUAAAAAAAAAAA
Molecule: long non-coding RNA, 655 nt
Filed under: Anser brachyrhynchus (Pink-footed goose)
Lineage: Eukaryota; Metazoa; Chordata; Aves; Anseriformes; Anatidae
Description: lncRNA (ENSABRG00000001579.1)
Source: RNAcentral